UACGUAGGGUGCGAGCGUUGUCCGGAAUUAUUGGGCGUAAAGAGUUCGUAGGCGGCCUGUCGCGUCGGUUGUGAAAGCCCGGGGCUUAACCCCGGGUCUGCAGUCGAUACGGGCAGGCUAGAGUUCGGUAGGGGAGAUCGGAAUUCCUGGUGUAGCGGUGAAAUGCGCAGAUAUCAGGAGGAACACCGGUGGCGAAGGCGGAUCUCUGGGCCGAUACUGACGCUGAGGAGCGAAAGCGUGGGGAGCGAACAGG
Molecule: ribosomal RNA, 253 nt
Filed under: uncultured bacterium
Lineage: Bacteria
Description: partial 16S ribosomal RNA
Rfam family: Bacterial small subunit ribosomal RNA
Source: RNAcentral